AUGCUGGGGACCAAUCCGACUCUUCUCCUUCAGCAAAGUUCUAGAGUCAGUAGCUGCUCUCGGAUCGCGGCGGAAGUGAGCCCACAGGAGCUGCUCGUACGGUCGUACCACGUCCUCACGGAGCUCCAGAACCACGUGCUCGGCUACGUCAAGUCUAUGUCGCUCAAGUGCGCCGUGGAACUCGGCAUCCCGGAUGCCAUCCACCGCCGCGGCGGCACCGCCACCCUGGCCAACACCAAGGUGCACCCGGCCAGCCUUGCCGACCUCCGGCGCGUAAUGGAGCUGCUCAGCGCCUCGGGAGAUGAGGCGAGCAAGGACACGGGGUUCAACGCCGUCCUGAAUGACGCCAUGAUCGCGGACAGCGAGCUCUUCCUCGAGGUCAUCCUUCUGGAUAAGGGGCGCAUCUUUCGCGGCCAGAGCUCGCUCGUGGACGUUGGCGGCGGCAACGGCGCGGGCACGCGGGUGAUCGCCAAGGCGUUCCCGCGCAUCGAGUGCACCGUGCUGGACCUCGCUCACGUCUUCGGCAAAGCCGCCGGUGACCAUGGCAACCUGCGUUUCGUCGCAGGUGACAUGUUUGAAUCCCUUCCACCCGCGGAUGUUGUCUUGCUCAAGGGAGGCAUGUCUAUGUACCCCAUCGACAUCACCUAG
This 648-nucleotide ribosomal RNA is filed under the name Triticum aestivum (bread wheat). Its description in RNAcentral is "partial small subunit ribosomal RNA". Lineage: Eukaryota; Viridiplantae; Streptophyta; Magnoliopsida; Poales; Poaceae. The record is from RNAcentral.